Molecule: ribosomal RNA, 779 nt
Filed under: Capitella sp. 5_ST2018
Lineage: Eukaryota; Metazoa; Annelida; Polychaeta; Capitellidae
Description: partial 28S rRNA
Rfam family: Eukaryotic large subunit ribosomal RNA (bases 457-779)
Source: RNAcentral
ACCGUUCAGAAGAAGAAAAACGGUUGGGCCCGCGAGGCGUGCCGCGGCGGGAUUCAGCCGUCGGCCUGUUGGGAGGCUCGGGUUGUCGGAGGAUGGUGGGGGAAACCCUGCCUAUGCCCCGGCGGCCUGGGUCGACCGGCGGGCUGGCGGUGCACUUCUCGUCGUGUGCGGGCCGCGUCCGGAUGCAUCGAUCGGCUGGAAAGCGUUGGCGGGAAGGUGACCGCGGUUGCUUCGGCGGCCACGGAGUUAUUAGCCCGUUGGUGCGACAUACGGCUAGAUUGGCGUCCGAGGCGACACCCGGUGGAGUUCGCGGCCUUUUGGCCCUUCGGUUCCGCUCGGAAGCGCGAUUCUUCGCGCCGCUGGGUCUGGUAGCCGUUGGUCCGGGGGUCGCUCCUCUGCCUGGGAGUUCCGCGGCUUAGCGAGGCGGUGGCCCAACCGACCCGUCUUGAAACACGGACCAAGGAGUCCGGCGGGCGUGCAAGUCGUAGGGUGUUCGAAACCCGAAGGCGAAGCGAAAGCGUAGGUCCGAUCCCGCUCCCUCGGGGGUGGGCGCAGGGCCGUCCUCGCUAAGAGGCUUGUGUCCUCUGGCGGGCGAUCUGAGCACGUCCGGCGGGACCCGAAAGAUGGUGAACUAUGCCUGAGCAGGCCGAAGCCAGGGGAAACUCUGGUGGAGGGCCGCAGCGGUUCUGACGUGCAAAUCGAUCGUCAGACUUGUGUAUAGGGGCGAAAGACUAAUCGAACCAUCUAGUAGCUGGUUCCCUCCGAAGUCUCCCCUCAGG